GUAGACGAGCUGAUCAGCCAUGCCGCGUGCAGUGAUGACGGCCCUAUGGGUUGUAAACUGCUUUUGUACGGAAGAAACCCGCCUACGUGUAGGUGGCUGACGGGACCGUUACGAAUAAAGCCCGGCUAACUCCACUGCCAGCAGCCCGGGUAAUACGGAAGGACCGAGCGUUAUCCGGAAUCAUUGGGUUUAAAGGGUCCGAAGGGGGGCCGUUAAGUUCAGGGUGAAAGUCUGCGGCUCAACCGUAAAAUUGGCUUUGAUACUGGGGGUCUUGAAUUCAUGGUGGAGGUCGCCGGAACAUGUGGUGUAGCGUAUGAAAUGCAUAGAUAUCACAUAGAACACCGAUCGCGAAGGGCACGUGAACAACCAUGAACUGACGCUGAUGACACGAAAGCGUGGCGUAGCGAAACGGGAUUAGAUACCCCGGUAGUCCACGCCGUAAAACGAUGGAUACUAGCUGUGGCGCACUUUAUUGUCUCCGUGGCCCCGCGAGAGUGAUAUGUAUCCCACGUGGGAGAGUACGACCGCUGGUGUAACUCUCAAAGUGUAUGUGACGGG
RNAcentral lists this ribosomal RNA (558 nucleotides) under uncultured Bacteroidota bacterium. Its description in RNAcentral is "bacterial SSU rRNA". It matches the Rfam family "Bacterial small subunit ribosomal RNA", at positions 374 to 917 of the family's 1533-position model. Lineage: Bacteria; Pseudomonadati; Bacteroidota. The record is from RNAcentral.